Molecule: ribosomal RNA, 468 nt
Filed under: uncultured bacterium
Lineage: Bacteria
Description: partial 16S ribosomal RNA
Rfam family: Bacterial small subunit ribosomal RNA
Source: RNAcentral
GACGAACGCUGGCGGCGUGCUUAACACAUGCAAGUCGAACGGAAAGGCCCUGCUUUUGUUGGUUGCUCGAGUGGCGAACGGGUGAGUAACACGUGUGUAACCUGCCCUUGACUUUGGGAUAACUUCACGAAACUGGGGCUAAUAUCGGAUAUGAUCUCCUGCUGCAUGGUGGGGGUUGGAAAGUUUCGGCGGUUGUGGAUGGACUCGCGGCUUAUCAGCUUGUUUGUGUGGUAGUGGCUUACCAAGGCUUUGACGGGUAGCCGGCCUGAGAGGGUUACCGGCCACAAUGGGACUGAGAUACGGACCAGAAUCCUACGGGAGGCAGAAGUGGGGAAUAUUGCACAAUGGGCGGAAGCCUGAUGCAACAACGCCGCGAGCGGGAUGACGGCCUUCGGGUUGUAAACCGCUUUCGCCUGUGACGAAGCAUGAGUGACGGUAAUGGGUAAAGAAGCACCGGCUAACUACGUG